CCAAUACGGGAGGCAGCAGGUGGGGAAUAUUGCACAAGUCGGGGGGAACCCUGAUGCAGCCAUGCCGCGUGAAUGAAGAAGGCCUUCGGGUUGUAAAGUUCUUUCAGUGACGAGGAAGGUUGAUAGGUUAAUAGUCUAUCAAAUUGACGUUAAUCACAGAAGAAGCACCGGCUAACUCCGUGCCAGCAGCCGCGGUAAUUUGG
This 203-nucleotide ribosomal RNA is filed under the name uncultured bacterium. RNAcentral describes it as "partial 16S ribosomal RNA". It matches the Rfam family "Bacterial small subunit ribosomal RNA", at positions 338 to 528 of the family's 1533-position model. The record is from RNAcentral.